UACGUAGGGGGCGAGCGUUGUCCGGAUUCAUUGGGCGUAAAGAGCUCGUAGGCGGCUUGGCAAGUCGGGUGUGAAAACUCCAGGCUCAACCUGGAGACGCCACCCGAUACUGCCAUGGCUUGAGUCCGGUAGGGGACCACGGAAUUCCUGGUGUAGCGGUGAAAUGCGCAGAUAUCAGGAGGAACACCGGUGGCGAAGGCGGUGGUCUGGGCCGACACUGACGCUGUAGAGCGAAAGCGUGGGGAGCGAACAGG
RNAcentral lists this ribosomal RNA (254 nucleotides) under uncultured bacterium. RNAcentral describes it as "partial 16S ribosomal RNA". It matches the Rfam family "Bacterial small subunit ribosomal RNA", at positions 524 to 776 of the family's 1533-position model. The record is from RNAcentral.